This 420-nucleotide ribosomal RNA is filed under the name uncultured bacterium. RNAcentral describes it as "bacterial SSU rRNA". It matches the Rfam family "Bacterial small subunit ribosomal RNA", at positions 355 to 773 of the family's 1533-position model. The record is from RNAcentral.
UAAGGAAUAUUGGUCAAUGGACGCAAGUCUGAACCAGCCAUGCCGCGUGAAGGAUGAAGGUCCUCUGGAUUGUAAACUUCUUUUAUCUGGGACGAAAACGGGAUUUUUAUCUCAAUUGACGGUACCAGAGGAAUAAGCACCGGCUAACUACGUGCCAGCAGCCGCGGUAAUACGUAGGGUGCGAGCGUUAAUCGGAAUUACUGGGCGUAAAGCGUGCGCAGGCGGUUUUGUAAGACAGAGGUGAAAUCCCCGGGCUCAACCUGGGAACUGCCUUUGUGACUGCAAGGCUGGAGUGCGGCAGAGGGGGAUGGAAUUCCGCGUGUAGCAGUGAAAUGCGUAGAUAUGCGGAGGAACACCGAUGGCGAAGGCAAUCCCCUGGGCCUGCACUGACGCUCAUGCACGAAAGCGUGGGGAGCAAAC